RNAcentral lists this ribosomal RNA (440 nucleotides) under uncultured bacterium. Its description in RNAcentral is "bacterial SSU rRNA". It matches the Rfam family "Bacterial small subunit ribosomal RNA", at positions 338 to 770 of the family's 1533-position model. The record is from RNAcentral.
CCUACGGGAGGCAGCAGUAGGGAAUCUUCCGCAAUGGACGAAAGUCUGACGGAGCAACGCCGCGUGAGCGAUGAAGGUUUUCGGAUCGUAAAGCUCUGUUGUUAGGGAAGAACAAGUAUCGGAGUAACUGCCGGUACCUUGACGGUACCUAACCAGAAAGCCACGGCUAACUACGUGCCAGCAGCCGCGGUAAUACGUAGGUGGCAAGCGUUGUCCGGAUUUAUUGGGCGUAAAGUGCGCGCAGGCGGUUCUUUAAGUCUGAUGUGAAAUCUUGCGGCUCAACCGCAAGCGGUCAUUGGAAACUGGGGGACUUGAGUACAGAAGAGGAAAGCGGAAUUCCACGUGUAGCGGUGAAAUGCGUAGAGAUGUGGAGGAACACCAGUGGCGAAGGCGGCUUUCUGGUCUGUAACUGACGCUGAGGCGCGAAAGCGUGGGGAGCA